RNAcentral lists this ribosomal RNA (480 nucleotides) under Flavobacterium psychrophilum. RNAcentral describes it as "bacterial LSU rRNA". It matches the Rfam family "Bacterial large subunit ribosomal RNA", at positions 1 to 492 of the family's 2925-position model. The record is from RNAcentral. Lineage: Bacteria; Pseudomonadati; Bacteroidota; Flavobacteriia; Flavobacteriales; Flavobacteriaceae.
GUACAAUAAGCAAAAUAAGGGCGUAUGGGGGAUGCCUUGGCUCUCAGAGGCGAUGAAGGGCGUGAUAAGCUGCGAAAAGCUACGGGGAUCAGCACACAUGACUUGAUCCGUAGAUACCCGAAUGGGGCAACCCACUAUGUUGAAGACAUAGUACACCGAUAGGUGGGCAAACCCGCUGAACUGAAACAUCUAAGUAGGCGGAGGAGAAGAAAACAAAAGUGAUUCCGUAAGUAGUGGCGAGCGAACGCGGAUUAGCCCAAACCAAUGUUGUUACGGCAAUGUUGGGGUUGUAGGACCACGUUAUUUGUUGCGGAUAGAAUUAGAAUUUACUGGAAAGUAAAGCCAAAGAAGGUGAUAGCCCUGUAUAAGUAAUAGAAGAUAACGAUAGUGGUAUCCUGAGUAGGGCGGGACACGAGAAAUCCUGUCUGAAUUUGGCGGGACCAUCCGCUAAGGCUAAAUACUCCUGAGAGACCGAUAGUG